Cicer arietinum (chickpea) is the source of this 561-nucleotide long non-coding RNA. RefSeq lists it as uncharacterized. The record is from RefSeq and is a predicted model, not a curated record. Lineage: Eukaryota; Viridiplantae; Streptophyta; Magnoliopsida; Fabales; Fabaceae.
GGGAAAGUUGAGUGACCAAUUAAUCAUAAAUUUAACUCUCACUUGUAGGCUUUACAAUCUGGAAAAAAUUGGAUACCAGAUCUUAUGUUUACAAGAUAUAUAUAAUAAUCUUCGAAAAAAUGAAGCUUGUGGUGGAGGAUAUAUCCAGUCAAGUUUAUGCCGGUCGAUGAUUAGCCGGAAGCCUCCAAAUUUGAAGAUAUAGUUUCUUGCCUCACAAUUGAAAAGGUGUCAAAACUCGCUAUAAUGUUUGUUAUAUCUAACUCAAGCGAGGAAUGUCAUCUUUCACUAGAGAUUUGAAUGCAAACCACGUUGUACUUCUACUUUUACUAACAGAGAAAAUCAAGAGUUCUAACAAACAAGUAAAUACACCCGAGCAUCGACGGGUUAACAAAGAAGUAAACACACGAGCAACAGGACUAGAGAUAAAAAUGGCAAAACUGUAGGAAGAAUAUGUGACUUUGAAUCUAUGGAUGCUGCUCCGAAAAGAUUCAUCCAACAAGUAGACGACGACGAUUUAUGGUUUAUUAAUUAUUAAUUAUUAUGGUGUAUUAAUUAUUUAUA